Molecule: ribosomal RNA, 497 nt
Filed under: uncultured bacterium
Lineage: Bacteria
Description: partial 16S ribosomal RNA
Rfam family: Bacterial small subunit ribosomal RNA
Source: RNAcentral
GAUGAACGCUGGCGGCGUGCCUAAUACAUGCAAGUCGAGCGAACAGACGAGGGGCUUGCUCCUUCGACGUUAGCGGCGGACGGGUGAGUAACACGUAGGUAACCUACCUAUAAGACUGGGAUAACUUCGGGAAACCGGAGCUAAUACCGGAUAAUAUUUCGAACCGCAUGGUUCGAUAGUGAAAGAUGGCUUUGCUAUCACUUAUAGAUGGACCUGCGCCGUAUUAGCUAGUUGGUAAGGUAACGGCUUACCAAGGCAACGAUACGUAGCCGACCUGAGAGGGUGAUCGGCCACACUGGAACUGAGACACGGUCCAGACUCCUACGGGAGGCAGCAGUAGGGAAUCUUCCGCAAUGGGCGAGAGCCUGACGGAGCAACGCCGCGUGAGUGAUGAAGGUCUUCGGAUCGUAAAACUCUGUUAUUAGGGAAGAACAAACGUGUAAGUAACUGUGCACGUCUUGACGGUACCUAAUCAGAAAGCCACGGCUAACUACGUG